CAUAUCAAUAAGCGGAGGAAAAGAAACCAACAGGGAUUGCCCCAGUAACGGCGAGUGAAGCGGCAACAGCUCAAAUUUGAAAUCUGGCCUCCGGGUCCGAGUUGUAAUUUGCAGAGGAUGCUUUUGGCGAGGUGCCUUCCGAGUUCCCUGGAACGGGACGCCAUAGAGGGUGAGAGCCCCGUCUGGUCGGACACCGAGCCUCUGUAAAGCUCCUUCGACGAGUCGAGUAGUUUGGGAAUGCUGCUCAAAAUGGGAGGUAUAUGUCUUCUAAAGCUAAAUAUUGGCCAGAGACCGAUAGCGCACAAGUAGAGUGAUCGAAAGAUGAAAAGCACUUUGAAAAGAGGGUUAAAAAGUACGUGAAAUUGUUGAAAGGGAAGCGCCUAUGACCAGACUUGGGCCCGGUGAAUCACCCAGCGUUCUCGCUGGUGCACUUUGCCGGGCACAGGCCAGCAUCAGUUUGGCGCGGGGGAUAAAGGUUUCGGGAAUGUGGCUCCCUCGGGAGUGUUAUAGCCCGUUGCGUAAUACCCUGCGCCGGACUGAGGUACGCGCAUUGCAAGGAUGCUGGCGUAAUGGUCAUCAGCGACCCGUCUUGAAACACGGACCAAGGAGUCGUCUUCGUAUGCGAGUGUUCGGGUGUCAAACCCCUACGCGUAAUGAAAGUGAACGUAGGUGAGAGCUUCGGCGCAUCACCGACCGAUCCUGAUGUUCUCGGAUGGAUUUGAGUAAGAGCAUACGGGGCCGGACCCGAAAGAAGGUGAACUAUGCCUGUAUAGGGUGAAGCCAGAGGAAACUCUGGUGGAGGCUCGCAGCGGUUCUGACGUGCGAAUCGAUCGUCAAAUAUGGGCAUGGGGGCGAAAGACUAAUCGAACCUUCUAGUAGCUGGUUUCCGCCGAAGUUUCCCCUCAGGA
RNAcentral lists this ribosomal RNA (908 nucleotides) under Cordyceps sp. Its description in RNAcentral is "partial large subunit ribosomal RNA". It matches the Rfam family "Eukaryotic large subunit ribosomal RNA", at positions 39 to 978 of the family's 3401-position model. Lineage: Eukaryota; Fungi; Ascomycota; Sordariomycetes; Hypocreales; Cordycipitaceae. The record is from RNAcentral.